AAGUCGUAACAAGGUCUCCGUUGGUGAACCAGCGGAGGGAUCAUUACUGAGUUCUACAAAACUCCCAACCCUUUGUGAAUUAUACCUUAGUUGCCUCGGCGUCGAGCGAGUCAACCUACCCGGGAGCUACCCUGGAGUCACCUACCCUGUAGAACCUACCCUGUAGGACCUACCCUGUAGACGGCUACCCUGGAGCUGCCCUGUAGUUGCACUUUCGCGUCGCCGGUGGACUACCAAACUCUUAUAUGUAUAGUGUAUCUCUGAAUUCUUAACAAAAUUAGUUAAAACUUUCAACAACGGAUCUCUUGGUUCUG
Molecule: unclassified non-coding RNA, 314 nt
Filed under: air metagenome
Description: partial contains small subunit ribosomal RNA, internal transcribed spacer 1, and 5.8S ribosomal RNA
Rfam family: Eukaryotic small subunit ribosomal RNA (bases 1-46)
Source: RNAcentral